This 74-nucleotide transfer RNA is filed under the name Crassvirales sp. RNAcentral describes it as "tRNA-Arg". It matches the Rfam family "tRNA". From Rfam's summary of the family: Transfer RNA (tRNA) molecules are approximately 80 nucleotides in length. Their secondary structure includes four short double-helical elements and three loops (D, anti-codon, and T loops). Further hydrogen bonds mediate the characteristic L-shaped molecular structure. tRNAs have two regions of fundamental functional importance: the anti-codon, which is responsible for specific mRNA codon recognition, and the 3' end, to which the tRNAs corresponding amino acid is attached (by aminoacyl-tRNA synthetases). tRNAs cope with the degeneracy of the genetic code in two manners: having more than one tRNA (with a specific anti-codon) for a particular amino acid; and 'wobble' base-pairing, i.e. permitting non-standard base-pairing at the 3rd anti-codon position. Lineage: Duplodnaviria; Heunggongvirae; Uroviricota; Caudoviricetes; Crassvirales. The record is from RNAcentral.
GCCCUCAUAGCUCAUCAGGAUAGAGCAACAGUUUCCUAAACUGUAGGUGGAAGGUUCGAGUCCUUCUGGGGGUA